This 433-nucleotide ribosomal RNA is filed under the name uncultured bacterium. RNAcentral's name for it is "partial 16S ribosomal RNA". It matches the Rfam family "Bacterial small subunit ribosomal RNA", at positions 29 to 507 of the family's 1533-position model. The record is from RNAcentral.
AACGAACGCUGGCGGCAUGCCUAACACAUGCAAGUCGAACGAGACCUUCGGGUCUAGUGGCGCACGGGUGCGUAACGCGUGGGAACCUGCCCUUAGGUUCGGAAUAACUCCCCGAAAGGGGUGCUAAUACCGGAUAAUGUCUUCGGACCAAAGAUUUAUCGCCUUUGGAUGGGCCCGCGUUGGAUUAGCUAGUUGGUAGGGUAAAAGCCUACCAAGGCGACGAUCCAUAGCUGGUCUGAGAGGAUGAUCAGCCACACUGGGACUGAGACACGGCCCAGACUCAUACGGGAGGCAGCAGUGGGGAAUAUUGGACAAUGGGCGAAAGCCUGAUCCAGCAAUGCCGCGUGAGUGAUGAAGGCCUUAGGGUUGUAAAGCUCUUCUACCCGGGAUGAUAAUGACAGUACCGGGAGAAUAAGCUCCGGCUAACUCCGUG